This is a long non-coding RNA of Hyla sarda, 435 nucleotides long. RefSeq lists it as uncharacterized. The transcript is spliced from 4 exons. NCBI's taxonomy places the organism in Eukaryota, Metazoa, Chordata, Amphibia, Anura, Hylidae. The record is from RefSeq and is a predicted model, not a curated record.
AUGAAGAGGAGCUGAGGCAGUUGUUCCUCAUGAAGUUAUCGGGGGUGAAGCAUGGCCUGAUGCAGGGACAGGUCAGAGGGCUUGGAGCUGACUUCCUGCCUGUGCGGGGUCCUGUGACUGCACUCUAUGCGGGCAAGAUGCCAGCUAACGACAGUGAAUGGAAACCUUCUUAAUAAUUUUCGGAAGCUAUCGGCCUCUACAGGCAUGAUCCUUUUCACAGCAGAUAUGUGCAGAGAAUGAAGCAAUAUGAGCAAGAACAUCAUCUGGCAGAAAGAGCGAAGCGCAGGCUGGAGGUGGAGGCGGCGUGACGUCCUUUACCCUUUAUUGUAAAUUCUUUAAAAUAAAGAUGUCUGUCGGUGACAUGAUACAUUCAUCCUGCAUUAAAGGGGUACUCCGAUGGAAAACAUAAAAAAAAAAUUUUUUUAAAUCAACCGG